RNAcentral lists this ribosomal RNA (305 nucleotides) under uncultured bacterium. Its description in RNAcentral is "bacterial SSU rRNA". It matches the Rfam family "Bacterial small subunit ribosomal RNA", at positions 334 to 657 of the family's 1533-position model. The record is from RNAcentral.
GACCUACGGGAGGCAGCAGUGGGGAAUAUUGCACAAUGGGGGAAACCCUGAUGCAGCGACGCCGCGUGAGCGAAGAAGUAUUUCGGUAUGUAAAGCUCUAUCAGCAGGGAAGAAAAAUGACGGUACCUGAGUAAGAAGCACCGGCUAAAUACGUGCCAGCAGCCGCGGUAAUACGUAUGGUGCAAGCGUUAUCCGGAUUUACUGGGUGUAAAGGGAGCGCAGGCGGCAUGGCAAGUCUGAUGUGAAAACCCGGGGCCCAACCCCGGGAGUGCAUUGGAAACUGCCAGGCUGGAGUGUCGGAGGGG